This 800-nucleotide ribosomal RNA is filed under the name Salmonella enterica. Its description in RNAcentral is "partial 23S ribosomal RNA". It matches the Rfam family "Bacterial large subunit ribosomal RNA", at positions 2131 to 2925 of the family's 2925-position model. The record is from RNAcentral. Lineage: Bacteria; Pseudomonadati; Pseudomonadota; Gammaproteobacteria; Enterobacterales; Enterobacteriaceae.
UUGAUGUGUAGGAUAGGUGGGAGGCUUUGAAGCGUGGACGCCAGUCUGCGUGGAGCCGACCUUGAAAUACCACCCUUUAAUGUUUGAUGUUCUAACGUGGACCCGUAAUCCGGGUUGCGGACAGUGUCUGGUGGGUAGUUUGACUGGGGCGGUCUCCUCCUAAAGAGUAACGGAGGAGCACGAAGGUUGGCUAAUCCUGGUCGGACAUCAGGAGGUUAGUGCAAUGGCAUAAGCCAGCUUGACUGCGAGCGUGACGGCGCGAGCAGGUGCGAAAGCAGGUCAUAGUGAUCCGGUGGUUCUGAAUGGAAGGGCCAUCGCUCAACGGAUAAAAGGUACUCCGGGGAUAACAGGCUGAUACCGCCCAAGAGUUCAUAUCGACGGCGGUGUUUGGCACCUCGAUGUCGGCUCAUCACAUCCUGGGGCUGAAGUAGGUCCCAAGGGUAUGGCUGUUCGCCAUUUAAAGUGGUACGCGAGCUGGGUUUAGAACGUCGUGAGACAGUUCGGUCCCUAUCUGCCGUGGGCGCUGGAGAACUGAGGGGGGCUGCUCCUAGUACGAGAGGACCGGAGUGGACGCAUCACUGGUGUUCGGGUUGUCAUGCCAAUGGCACUGCCCGGUAGCUAAAUGCGGAAGAGAUAAGUGCUGAAAGCAUCUAAGCACGAAACUUGCCCCGAGAUGAGUUCUCCCUGAGACUUAGAGUCUCCUGAAGGAACGUUGAAGACGACGACGUUGAUAGGCCGGGUGUGUAAGCGCAGCGAUGCGUUGAGCUAACCGGUACUAAUGAACCGUGAGGCUUAACCUU